CCUACGGGUGGCAGCAGUGAGGAAUAUUGGUCAAUGGACGAGAGUCUGAACCAGCCAAGUAGCGUGAAGGAUGACUGCCCUAUGGGUUGUAAACUUCUUUUAUAUGGGAAUAAAAUGUUCCACGUGUGGGAUUUUGUAUGUACCAUAUGAAUAAGGAUCGGCUAACUCCGUGCCAGCAGCCGCGGUAAUACGGAGGAUCCGAGCGUUAUCCGGAUUUAUUGGGUUUAAAGGGAGCGUAGGUGGAUUGUUAAGUCAGUUGUGAAAGUUUGCGGCUCAACCGUAAAAUUGCAGUUGAAACUGGCAGUCUUGAGUACAGUAGAGGUGGGCGGAAUUCGUGGUGUAGCGGUGAAAUGCUUAGAUAUCACGAAGAACUCCGAUUGCGAAGGCAGCUCACUGGACGACAACUGACGGUGAGGCGCGAAAGCGUGGGGAGCAAACAGGAUUAGAUACCCCAGUAGUC
This 460-nucleotide ribosomal RNA is filed under the name uncultured bacterium. Its description in RNAcentral is "partial 16S ribosomal RNA". It matches the Rfam family "Bacterial small subunit ribosomal RNA", at positions 338 to 795 of the family's 1533-position model. The record is from RNAcentral.